GAGGCUAGCGGCAGGCAUCUACAUGCAAGUCAAGGGGGUAGCAAUACAACCGGCGCACGGGUGAGUAACGCGUACACAACAUGCCAUAUACUGGGGUAUAGCUUUGGGAAACUGAAGGUAAUCCCCCAUAGUAUUUCGGUUAGGCAUCUAACUGGAAUUAAAGUUUCGACGGUAUAUGAUUGGUGUGCGUUCCAUUAGCUAGUUGGUAGGGUAACGGCCUACCAAGGCGACGAUGGGUAGCUGGCGUGAGAGCGCGACCAGCCACACUGGAACUGAGACACGGUUCAGACUCCUACGGGAGGCAGCAGUAGGGAAUAUUGGACAAUGGGCGAAAGCCUGAUCCAGCCAUGCCGCGUGAUAGAUGAAGGCCCUCUGGGUUGUAAAUAUCUUUUAUCUGGGAAGAAACUCCUCUAUUCUUAGAGGCCUGACGGUACCAGAGGAAUAAGCACCGGCUAACUCCGUGCCAGCAGCCGCGGUAAUACGGAGGGUGCAAGCGUUAUCCGGAUUCACUGGGUUUAAAGGGUGCGUAGGCGGGUUGAUAAGUCAGUGGUGAAAGCUCCGGGCUUAACUUGGAAACUGCCAUUGAUACUGUCCAUCUUGAAUGUCGUAGAGGUAAGCGGAAUGUUGCAUGUAGCGGUGAAAUGCUUAGAUAUGUUACAGAACACCAAUUGCGAAGGCAGCUUACUAUGCGAUAAUUGACGCUGAGGCACGAAAGCGUGGGGAGCAAACAGGAUUAGAUACCCCUGGUAGUCCACGCCCUAAACGAUGAUUACUCGAUGUUGGCGAUACACAGUCAGCGUCUUAGCGAAAGCGUUAAGUAAUCCACCUGGGGAGUACGCUCGCAAGAGUGAAACUCAAAUGAAUUGACGG
Molecule: ribosomal RNA, 870 nt
Filed under: uncultured bacterium
Lineage: Bacteria
Description: bacterial SSU rRNA
Rfam family: Bacterial small subunit ribosomal RNA
Source: RNAcentral